CUGAGUGCAUGAAUGAUAACAAGCACUACUGCUGUACGGAAACUCAAAAUUUUCCAGUACAGGCGCUGCCCCUAGAGUUCCCAGUACAUCAACACCAGCCUGAGGAGCCGGCCUAGUACUUCCCACCACUGAAACCGCAGUCCAGGCAGCAAGAAAAGAUGGAGCCAUCACACCCGAGUCAAGAAAGCAACACCAUUCCUCAAGUUGUGGACCAUUAUCCAAGGGAAAAUCCCCCUCAAACUAAGUGUAACCAUCAUUUAAAGAAACCCUUCCGCCCAGCAUGGUGUCUCAGGCCUAUAAUCGCAGCACUUUGGGAGGCCAAGG
Molecule: long non-coding RNA, 324 nt
Organism: Homo sapiens (human)
Lineage: Eukaryota; Metazoa; Chordata; Mammalia; Primates; Hominidae
Exons: 3
Source: RefSeq, a predicted model, not a curated record